CCUACGGGAGGCAGCAGUGGGGAAUAUUGCACAAUGGGGGAAACCCUGAUGCAGCAACGCCGCGUGAAGGAAGACGGUUUUCGGAUUGUAAACUUCUGUCCUUAGUGAAGAAGAAUGACGGAAGUUAAGGAGCAAGCCACGGCUAAUUACGUGCAAGCAGCCGCGGUAAUACGUAGGUGGCAAGCGUUUCCCGGAAUUACGGGGUGUAAGGGGAGCGCAGGCGGGAAGGCAAGUCAGCUGUGAAAGCUAUGGGCUUAACUUGUAGACUGCAGUUGAAACUGGUUUGCUUGAGUGAAGUAGAGGUUAGCGGAAUUCCGAGUGUAGCGGUGAAAUGCGUAGAUAUUCGGAGGAACACCAGUGGCGAAGGCGGCCAACUGGGCUUUAAAUGACGCUGAGGCUCGAAAGUGUGGGGAGCAAACAGGAUUAGAUACCCUGGUAGUC
Molecule: ribosomal RNA, 441 nt
Filed under: uncultured bacterium
Lineage: Bacteria
Description: partial 16S ribosomal RNA
Rfam family: Bacterial small subunit ribosomal RNA
Source: RNAcentral